This 200-nucleotide ribosomal RNA is filed under the name uncultured bacterium. RNAcentral's name for it is "partial 16S ribosomal RNA". It matches the Rfam family "Bacterial small subunit ribosomal RNA", at positions 8 to 203 of the family's 1533-position model. The record is from RNAcentral.
AGAGUUUGAUCCUGGCUCAGAACGAACGUUGGCGGCGUGGAUUAGGCAUGCAAGUCGAACGAAGACGGGGUAGCAAUAUCCCGGACUGAGUGGCGAAAGGGGCAGUAAGGCGUGGGCAACCUACCUCUGGGACGGGGAUAGCCUUCCUAACGGGAGGGUAAUACCCGGCGACGUAACGGGGUGGCAUCACUUUGUUACCA